This 619-nucleotide long non-coding RNA is filed under the name Vombatus ursinus (common wombat). RNAcentral's name for it is "lncRNA (ENSVURG00010004521.1)". Lineage: Eukaryota; Metazoa; Chordata; Mammalia; Diprotodontia; Vombatidae. The record is from RNAcentral.
GGUGGCUCGGUUGUUAACAGUUGUGCUUGUGUGUGCACUGGGGAACCAUUUGGUCUUCGUUCAUCUCCACCAGGCCUUUCCAAACUCUCAGCCUCCUUCAAGGCUAACCCUCAUGCCUGGGACGGAGAAUUCCAUUCGACUCAGGAAUCAUUUAUUAAUCAUUUACUGUGUACAAGGAACUGUACUUGAGUGGCCACACAAGGAACAGAGCAGCCCCUACCUUUGAGAAACCUUUGUUUCCAUUUUUGGUGUGUGGUGGAGGGAACAGGGAGGCCUAGAACCUGUACCCAGGGACAGACAUCAAAAAUAAUUAGAGAAGGGAGUGAGGGAAACAGCAUUAAAAACACCCAGGUAUCCUAUAGGAGGUGACCCCUGAACAGGGAGGGUGAAGGACCCAACUUUGGACCCUCUGCCAGAAAAAACCAUCCCAGGGAUUGAAAGGAAACAGAACAAAACCAGGACAAACAACCUGGAAGGAAGUGACCAGAAGAAAUGGUAUCCACCAGGCCCCGCCCACAUUGGGACAGAAGCUUCCCUCAGAGACUUUUGUCCAUUCCAUCCUGCUGGCUGGCUGAAUAGAACCUGGAGAGGGGUGAUACUGAUUGACCAUCUGAUAUCC